Alligator sinensis (Chinese alligator) is the source of this 821-nucleotide long non-coding RNA. RefSeq lists it as uncharacterized. Lineage: Eukaryota; Metazoa; Chordata; Crocodylia; Alligatoridae. The transcript is spliced from 5 exons. The record is from RefSeq and is a predicted model, not a curated record.
GAUCUGAGCAGCGACCUGAGGGGUCCCAGCUUGGCUUCCAGCUCCUCCAGUCAGAGGCCAGGCAGCUCGACGUGAGGCCGGGGCUCCAGGAAGGUCAAGACCCCUAGCAGCUUGAAACAAUACCAGCCCUGGUGGCUGUGUAGCAGCAUCCCUGCCUACCACAUGGAGGAUCCAAGUUCAAGUCCCAGUUUUGGUGACUUGGGCAACCCCUUCAUCAUCAAGAGCAGCUGUUAACACCCAAUGUCAGUGCAAUUACCAAAAAAAUAAAACAGCAGCUAAGGAAAUUAUUCUUCAGUUACUGACAGAAGCAUCCCAAAAUGAUAGUGAUCAAAUGACAUCAGAAAUUAAAGAUAUGGUCAAUGGGUUGAAGAGGAGCAAGGAAGCCAAUUUGCAGCUGUUCCAAGACCUGACAGAAGAGAUGCAGCAACCCGGACCGAGGAGCAAUGGUAUCAGUGGGGAUACUGAUUCACUAAUUAGGCAUGACUGAAAAUGAGCCAUAUCAAGGAGGAACUGCUCUUUACUGGAAGAAGCGCAUGAUGGUUCUUUCUUUCAGUUAAACAAUCCUGCUCAGUAGAGGAUGAUUGUCUUUCAUGAAUGUCUUAUAUGUGGGUUUGAAGACUGCUACAUGAGGUCAAUCGGGGAUCAACAGACUCUACUGCAAUGCAUGCACAGGUUUCUGUGCAAGAUGAGUGGCUCUGGAUUCUCGUUUCUGCUGCUCCUGCUUGUCUGUCUCCUGUUGUUGUUGUUGUUGUUUCAUAGUUUAAUAGUUGGUAGGGUCAGAAGGGACCUGAGCAGAUCAUCAAAUCUGACACCCUGCCAUG